Choloepus didactylus (southern two-toed sloth) is the source of this 107-nucleotide small nuclear RNA. Lineage: Eukaryota; Metazoa; Chordata; Mammalia; Pilosa; Megalonychidae. The record is from RefSeq and is a predicted model, not a curated record.
GUGCUCACUUUGGCAGCACAUAUGCUUAAAUUGAAACAAUACAGAGAAGAUUAGCAUGGUCCCUGUACAAGGAUGAUGUGCAAAUUUAUAAAGUGUUCCAUAUUUUU